GAGAUUCACUUGAACGAACGAGCGGGACUUUCAUUUUCAAACCUGAGACGUAUGAGGAGACGAUGUUUUUCUUUGUUUACUUUAAUUGUCAUGUUGUUAAAGUUCUGUAGCUUUCGAGAAUACUCAUUUUGUGAUAAACUACGAUAAGAAACGAUGGAUUCAACAGAAGACGACAUAUCUGACUGCUCGGAUUCUGUUGAGGAGAGUUCUGCAUUCAGAGUUACCAAGAUCUCCUGUAACCAGAAGUGCAACAAAUGUAUGGCAGAGCAUGAGGCUGAAAAACACCCCUGGACUGGAGAGUCCUGGAUCUGCCUUGCGUCACACACUCAAGAAGAAGCUCCAUGAGAGUGCCUCCCUGUCACCCCUCCCUUCACCUAAACGGCCAAGGUCAACAGUGCCAAAUACAAACCCUCCUGUGACGGUCCCGUCCCCGGUGCAUGAUGAGGACAUGACCACUCGUGGUCUGCUCAGGGGGAUCAUUCAGACGGUGGCCUGAACCUGACCUUGAAGACCCCAUUUGUAGAGAAGCACAUUGAGAGGGCGGGGCUUCAGAGGAAGGUGUCCAAUCGGAGGCUACCAUCUGUGGAUGCAUUUGAUGAGGCCGUUCAGAGAUGCUUGGAGCAGGGUCCCAACCAAGAUCAAUCUGUAUUUCAGGAUGGAAAAACUCUAGAAGAUUCUUCAUUCUUCAGAAGUUCACACUCGGCCUCAAUGAUGUCACAGAGCUUUAUGCCCAGCUUAAUAAAAAAGACGACAAAGUGGGACCGUCUGCAGAGAUGGAGAGGGAUGCAGAGAACGAGCGAGAACAUGAGCUUGAGCGAGCCAGUGAGAUUCCAGACUCAGAACCUUUAAUUCAAGAAGGAAAAGAUCAUGAGAUGGAAUCACAGGAUGAUGAGGAAGAGGAAGAGGAAGAGGUGGUGCUUUCAUCCCAAGAAAAUGUGUUUUUGAGUCCAGAAGAUGAUAUUGUACUUCCUCCAACGCAGACAAUGACAGAAUUACUUCCUGAAUCGCGUGAUGUGCAGCUAGAAGAUCGAGAAUUUGUGGAGGAAGUUGAGAUUGGGAAUGUUGUGGAAAUUGAGGAUGUGGAAAUUGAAGAUGACAGCGUUGAGGAUGAGAUGGUUGUGGAUGAGAAUGUUGAGGAAAUCGAGGAUGAGGAGGUUGUUAAAGCUGAACAUGAAAAUGUUGAAGAGAACCCAGACACCUCACAGUGUCUAGAGCGAAUAACUCGUAGAGCUCACCGCUCAGAGGGAGGAGGCUCUGUCGUGGGAAUUCCGCCUGCCACGGGAGUCACAAAGAAUUUUGGAGCUGGAUUGAACCCCAGAGAGAAAGGUGAAGACUGCUUGAAGUGACAAAAUCACAAAGUUCUUCACCAGUGACUAGGGCUGUCUUUCCCUUGCAUGAAUAAGACUCGCAGAUCUUUUGGAUUUUGUGGACGAGAACCGUGAGAAUUUACAGGACUUUUCGGAUGAAGAAAGAGAACCGCUGGGCAGCCAAGAGUUUCCUCGCCUCCAUCCUCCAGCAGAGCUCAGCUCACCAGAGCAGAGGUCACGGCAACAUGAGGCUAGUCUGGCUGAGGGAGAUGUGCCAGAGCUUGAAGAAGAUGAUGACGCCCCAGAAGAACUUAACCAAUCAGAGGAGGAGGAGCUGAUAGACUCUGGGUCAGCCAGUCAGAGCCCUGAACUUCCACAAGAAGAGGAAGAGAACGAUGAUGACGACGCUCUUAGUGCAGAACUGUCCAUCAAAACUCCUGCGUUUGUAAGACAGAAGAGAGAUUUCACAGGUUCUGUUGCGCAGGCUAUGCCAACAGUCUUUAAAGUGAAUGCUGGCUUUUUUCCCUUCACUAAUGACCGAAGCAGACGUGUGUGUGAGGUUUACAAGGCCAAGUCUGUUGUUGAGAUUUGCAGCUCCAGACAGAUGCUGGAUUCCCGUUUCUUUAGAAAACUCUUUCUAUAUCUCUUGCCUUUAUUUAGUGUCAGACUGAAUUUAAAUCCAGAUCUUUUGAUUCCAGAUCCGGCUCAUGUUUCACACCGUUUUCAGUGUGUUGUCACUAUAGAUCGAGAUCCAGAUGUUUGGUCCCUGGGGCCCUCUGGGGCCCCAACCUCCUCCUCCUCUUCUUCUUUACCUCCUCCUGCAAGCAGUGACCCUUCCACAUUCUCCACAGUAUGAGUCAGCAGUGCAGCGGCUCUAGCAACUCCAUCUAUCAUGUUGAGUUUCAUCACAAUGUAGCACUUAAACCAAACAUUGCUUGAAAACGAACCUCUGACAAGCCAAUCUGUUCUCUGUCUCCUUCAUAAAACCACGAACGUGGGUCACACAGCGCUGUGGCAGCCAGAACACUCGCGUCAUCUAGCGCAUGAGUCACCGGGAGAAUUUUCCGUGUUACUGGCACUUUUUCUUGUCUGUUCCUGCCAGAAGUUGGACCCAGUGGACCCGAAACCAAUUUCAUCAUCACUGCGGGACUGAGUCACACUGCUACUCAGCAAAGAGAGUGAGAGAAGAUCUGCUCGGCCAAAAAUACUUGAAUACUACACACCAGAUGGGAAUAAAGUGAAAACUAAAUAGGAAAACAGAACGAAGGACAAAGAUGUAGAAGGUUUCUGAUGAAUGGACCAUGACAUUUAAAAUCCCAAGUCUCAAAAACCACAAAGACUAGUUAUUUCCAGAGAAGAUGCCACGGUCCAGAUCCUCACAGAAUCCCUCUCGCUGGUCCAGGUCUGGAACAUUCCAGAACCUUCUUUUACCUUUUCCAUUUAGAGAGACAGUGCAGGAAGCAGAGCCCAUGAUGACAUCACCACCCCUCUGUUCCAGCGCACAUCUGGAAAUGCUCAAGUUUCAGAACGAGAGAGAUAAAGAGAGAGAGAACUGCGAGAAUGUGAGGGAAGAGUACAAAUGAGCUUGGCAUAUCUGCACCACCAGCACGGAUAGGGAAAUAAGGAGGAGAGCAUAGGAAAUUAGAAAGAAAUGGAGUCACUAGGAAAAAGAAGAAGAGGUUGGUAGGGGGAGGCUGGAAGUCUGUGUCCCAGGGCAUGAUCCCUCUGUCUGGAAAGACUCAACAGGAAAACAUCCCUACCCAGGGUUCCACAUCAGCAGCCCCCCUUUGACAUUCACGGAUGAUUUCUGAGAGCUGGACGUCCUCCAUGGAUUUCUUGGCCACUGUGGUUCUCAUACCUAAGGACUGAAAGAGAGAGAGAGAGGUUAAGACGUAUACGGAACAGAAGGAAAACUGAGGUCUGAUGAAAGAGAUCCUUCAUGGUAAUAGUAAUUUUGAAAAUCUACCAUGAAUACCAUGGUAUUUUCUGAAGUACCAUGUAAAUACAAUGGUAAGUAAUAAUUGAAGAGACAAUAGAUUCAACUGAACUUCAGCUUUAGCAAAGACACAUCUUUUGCUCCAAAAAAAAAAAAUACUGUAG
This is a long non-coding RNA of Cyprinus carpio carpio, 3407 nucleotides long. NCBI's taxonomy places the organism in Eukaryota, Metazoa, Chordata, Actinopteri, Cypriniformes, Cyprinidae. The record is from Ensembl.